UUGGCUCAGGAUGAACGCUGGCGGCAGGCUUAACACAUGCAAGUCGAGGGGCAGCGCGGUGGUAGCAAUACUACUGGCGGCGACCAGCGCACUGGUGAGUAACACGUAUGCGACCUGCCCCGGACAGGGGGAUAAACCCGGGAAACUGGGCCUAAUACCCCAUAUGCCAUAGAGCCGCAUGGUUCUGUGGUGAAAGAUCCGUCGGUCCGGGAUGGGCAUGCGGCGCAUUAGCUUGUUGGCGGGGCAACGGCCCACCAAGGCGACGAUGCGUAGGGUUCUGAGAGGAAGGUCCCCCACACUGGUACUGAGACACGGACCAGACUCCUACGGGAGGCAGCAGUGGGGAAUA
This 349-nucleotide ribosomal RNA is filed under the name uncultured rumen bacterium. RNAcentral's name for it is "bacterial SSU rRNA". It matches the Rfam family "Bacterial small subunit ribosomal RNA", at positions 19 to 363 of the family's 1533-position model. The record is from RNAcentral.